RNAcentral lists this ribosomal RNA (553 nucleotides) under uncultured Nitrososphaerota archaeon. Its description in RNAcentral is "bacterial SSU rRNA". It matches the Rfam family "Archaeal small subunit ribosomal RNA", at positions 325 to 879 of the family's 1478-position model. Lineage: Archaea; Thermoproteati; Nitrososphaerota. The record is from RNAcentral.
ACGGGGUGCAGCAGGCGCGAAACCUUUGCAAUGUGCGCAAGCACGACAAGGUUAAUCCGAGUGUUUCCUGCUAAAGGAAUCUUUUGUUAGUCGUAAAACCACUGAUGAAUAAGGGGUGGGCAAGUUCUGGUGUCAGCCGCCGCGGUAAAACCAGCACCUCAAGUGGUCAGGAGGAUUAUCGGGCCUAAAGCAUCCGUAGCCGGCUCUGCAAGUUUUCGGUUAAAUCCAUUUGCUUAACAAAUGGGCUGCCGAAAAUACUACAUAGCUAGGGAGUGGGAGAGGUAGACGGUAUUCGGUAGGAAGGGGUAAAAUCCUUUGAUCUAUUGAGGACCACCUAUGGCGAAGGCAGUCUACCAGAACACGUUCGACGGUGAGGGAUGAAAGCUGGGGGAGCAAACCGGAUUAGAUACCCGGGUAGUCCCAGCUGUAAACGAUGCAGACUCGGUGAUGCACUGGCUUGUGGCCAGUGCAGUGCCGCAUGGAAGCCGUUAAGUUUGCCGCCUGGGAAGUACUUACGCACGUAUGAAACUUAUAGGAAUUGGUGGGGGAGCAC